GGAGACGUAUCGAAGCGGUCAUAACGAGCUCGACUCGAAAUCGAGUAGCCGGUGAAACGGCACGUGGGUUCGAAUCCCACCGUCUCCGCCA
RNAcentral lists this transfer RNA (91 nucleotides) under Candidatus Avoscillospira stercoripullorum. RNAcentral's name for it is "tRNA-Ser". It matches the Rfam family "tRNA". From Rfam's summary of the family: Transfer RNA (tRNA) molecules are approximately 80 nucleotides in length. Their secondary structure includes four short double-helical elements and three loops (D, anti-codon, and T loops). Further hydrogen bonds mediate the characteristic L-shaped molecular structure. tRNAs have two regions of fundamental functional importance: the anti-codon, which is responsible for specific mRNA codon recognition, and the 3' end, to which the tRNAs corresponding amino acid is attached (by aminoacyl-tRNA synthetases). tRNAs cope with the degeneracy of the genetic code in two manners: having more than one tRNA (with a specific anti-codon) for a particular amino acid; and 'wobble' base-pairing, i.e. permitting non-standard base-pairing at the 3rd anti-codon position. Lineage: Bacteria; Bacillati; Bacillota; Clostridia; Eubacteriales; Oscillospiraceae. The record is from RNAcentral.